UUCCUACGGGUGGCUGCAGUGAGGAAUAUUGGUCAAUGGGCGCAAGCCUGAACCAGCCAUCCCGCGUGAAGGAAGAAGGCCCUAUGGGUUGUAAACUUCUUUUCCAGGGGGUGAAUAAUUCCGAUGUAUCGGGAGAUGACGGUACCCUGGGAAUAAGCAUCGGCUAACUCCGUGCCAGCAGCCGCGGUAAUACGGAGGAUGCGAGCGUUAUCCGGAUUUAUUGGGUUUAAAGGGUGCGUAGGCGGAACAAUAAUGCAGUGUUGAAAGACUGCAGCUUAACUGUAGACUUGCCGUUGAUACUGGUGAUCUUGAGUAUGGUCAAGGCAGGCGGAAUGUGUAAUGUAGCGGUGAAAUGCUUAGAUAUUACACAGAACACCGAUUGCGAAGGCAGCUUGCUGGGCCAUUACUGACGCUGAUGCACGAAAGCGUGGGGAUCGAACAGGAUUAGAUACCCGAGUAGUC
Molecule: ribosomal RNA, 462 nt
Filed under: uncultured Bacteroidales bacterium
Lineage: Bacteria; Pseudomonadati; Bacteroidota; Bacteroidia; Bacteroidales
Description: bacterial SSU rRNA
Rfam family: Bacterial small subunit ribosomal RNA
Source: RNAcentral